UGUGCACCUUUGACUGAACGUCUGCAUCCCUCUUUUCUCCUCCAGCAUGUCUUUGACUUGUUGCUACUGUUUUGACCAAACUCUAUUGGGUAUUUUGACUCGAGCACCAGGAGGGAAGUCGGUACCAACCUGACUUCCGGUCAGCACCGGCCUGAAUGUGCCGUUCAUUUGGGUUGGUGUUCCUCGAGAAAUCCUGCACAAAAUACUAGUUCUCAGAAGGCCUGAUUGGCUUUUAAGUAAAGAAAGGUUCUGUGAGCAAAUAGGUUCACAAAAUACUGCGUAUCAGCUUCCACCUUUUAGGGGUUCAAAGUCCUUAUUAGAACACUUCAUUCCUUUUUUUUUGUCUUUAAAGUUUAUUCAUUUGUUUUGAGAGGGAACACGUACAUGUGUGAGUGUGGGAGGGGAAGAGAGAGAGGGAGAGAGAGAGAGAAUCCCAAGCAGGCUUCACGCUCUCAGUGCAGAGCCCAAUGCAGGGCUCGAUCUCACGAACCAUGCACGAGACCAUGACCCGAGCUGAAAUCAACAGUGGGAUGCUUAACUGAGCCACCCAGGCACCCCUUAUUUCUAAUCCAAUACCUUCUGGAUUUAUUUAGACAGGGGGCACUAUUUUUUUUUUUAAUUAUUAACAAAAUUAAAACAAAAGACUUUUUGCUAUCCAAGAGACCAGAACCAUAGUUUUGCAAAUGCUAUCUAAUGUGCCCAGAAACUCUCUCUUGCUGGCUCACGUAAGCUCUGGAAGACCUUGGAGCUAAAUGCUCCUGCCCAGAUCCAGUGAUCUUAUUCCUUUAAAAUUCUACUGCUUUUAAAAACUAUAUAUGUCGCUUUAAUCAACUUCUCAUUGCUCAUACUUUAUGGUUUGUGUAGAACUUAACAACCAGCUUUCCUCUUUCAGUGUAUGAUUGAUUUGCCACGAACUGAGCCGGGGAUUCCUAAGUUGGACACUGUUUUGAGGUGCACGGAGGGACACUUGCCCAAGUCCAGAGCAGCGCCGAGGCCUGAACUGACCCGCUUUGGUAAACAGCGCCACCUGGUGGCCCACGGAAAUGUCCAUUUCCCCAAGAAGACACCGCGGGGCUGGUCUUUGCCCACUUCUCCGUGGAGGGUAGCGUCUGAUAACGCCCCGUACGUAAACCGAUUCUGUGCGGAGAGCGCUUGCCUGAAUCACUCCCUUGAAAAAGGUCCAAGUGCAGUUGUUUGGUUUAAUGACCUGCAUUAUUAUAGGCUUUGGAGCUUGUGUGUGUGCCAAGUAAAAGGGUGAACAAUACCCAAACUCUUCAGGGCAAUGUUCCUCCAGAGAGCUGAACAGACAACAUAAGCCCUACUGUUCGUAAGGGCCGGUGGUUGCAGUCACAUUUUUAUGGCAUUAAUCAAUUUGUAUCGUAAUUUAUAGGAAUACUGUUCCCACACUGGGUUUUGUUGACUGAGGAAAGAUCGGGGCAGCAGAGGGAAGGAAGCCCUUAACCCUGGGCAGAAUCUUCCUCCUCGGGAAAUGGAAGCGGAGCCGUGAGGCGGCCGUGUGGGAAGGAAUGUGCGCUCCUUUGCCUGUCCCCGAAGGGCACCCCGACCUUGAGUUUAAGAAACAUCCCAGCCCGCUGUCAGCAGCAGCCCGGCUCUGGGAGCGGCUGCGCCCUGCCGUUUUGGCCGUGCUCACAUACGAUGGCCUUUACUUCAAGGACUUCUUCCCUUAGCCCAAACAAGCCGACCUCAGAGGUCUGAGACAGCAGGCAGCAGACACAAGACUGCCACGUGCGGGUGGUCAUGGAGUUCUGACCGUGGCCUGUGAGCUAAAGCCCAUGGCAGUUUUUGUACACUCUGCUCGGGUGGGUAGGAGGUGGCAGAAUGCGGGAGGCGCAUCCCGUCCUUGAACCGUAGUGCGGCUACGUGCGCGUGCGUGCCUUGGUCGUGAGGUGCCUGGCUGUCCCUGACAGUGGUGGCUGGGCAGUGGGUCUACCACCCUCCAGGCCCCGCCACGCAGCCUUGCCUUGGGUGGUUCAGGAGUCAGCAGGCAGAGGAAACCCGCUUGCACGCAACGAUGCCGUGACCAUAUGCAGCUUGAAAUUUCAGAGCAGACUUUUCAGAGCAGUCUCUCGUUACCUAGCUAAAAGUAGCUGUGUGCUUCUUGCCGUAUACUUUCACACCUCUUCUCCCUUGCUCCCGGACCGCUCCUUCUGCACGCCCUAAAUUACAGAUCCUCGCUGGGGCUGAGCAUUGAAAGACAUCCGUUGGCUUCUCCCGUUCGUUAAUAGAGGUGCUUAAGUCAGCCGGAUGGCCUGCCCCGGCGCUCGGGCCCCCCUCCGCCCUCCUCCCCUCAAUCAUCCCCAGCCCUCCUCUAUCCCCACCUGUAUGCAGUGGUUCCCUGGACCAGCUCCAGAGCACUUUCUUUCAUCCCUUGAUUGGGCUUUUAUUUUUAAGAAGAAAGCCAAGCACAUUUUUAACAGCCGCGACCAGAUGGAGCGAGCUCUUCUGAGGCAACGUAAAGGUAAUAAAACAGAGCAAGCUGGUGUGGCUAACCUAAUGAAAGAUCCUGGGGCUUUGUGCCAGCUCUCACUAACCUUGGAGAAUACUUGGGUUGUGUGGGAGGCAAAUAACCCAGGGCAGUGUUUUCCUGACUUUUUCUGUCCUUAAACAACUGACCGAAGUCUGCGCCUUUCCUUAUCCUCAAGCCUUUUCCACCUUGGUCUUGAACAUUCUUCACUCCUCGUGCUUCACGGUGAUUCGUACUUCUUGGUGUCCCUCGUCCUUGGUACCGGCCACCUGCCCCUGUACCCCCCGCAGACACACGCAUCAUCACAAAGCUUGUUUCUCCAUCAUUGAGUCAUUUCCUUUGAACCAUAAUCCUUUCCUUCUGGUCCUUUAGCCCAGCUUCUGGAAUGGGCCCUCUCCCUCUCUCUGUCUCUGUGUCUGCGUGUGUGUGUGUGUGUGUGUGUGUGUCUUGUCUGUCUGUCCCUGACUCAGUCUGUCUCUCCAUGUGACCCUCUCUCUGUCUGUCGGUCUGUCUGUCUUGUCUUGGUGUCUUCCCCCCCCCCCCCCCCCCCCACUCUCCUGCUAGCUUAGAGCAGACUGUGGCCCUGACAUCCGCGCGAUGAGGACUGGCCCUGCAGGGUGGACAGCACGGGCAUCCUCACCCCUCCCCUGGCCUGGACCUGCUGACUGGUCCUGACUUGCUGGGUCCUUCCUUGUCAUCUCUCACGUGUGCCACUGUUGGACGGCCUCCACUGCCCCUGGCUCCCAGCUUACACGGCUUCAACCCUAGUCACUGCCUCAGCCUUUUACACGGAUGCCACGCCAUGCUCCCGCGUGCACGGGACUGGUUGUUCCACUCCUGGGGCUGGCGGUCUUCAGAGGUAGAAAAGCACCGGUGACAGCACAGCCUCCAGCCCCCAGUCCCCAGCCCCCAGCCCAGGGCCGGGUGGAGCCCGUGGCACCUUCUCCAGCAGCAGGAGGUGCAUCCUUUGUGUCCCCAAGAGCCAUGCACACGGCAUCAUUCUCGGAGUCCGUAGCAGGGAAGGUGGGCUAGCCCUCCACCCGGCUCGAGACCCUUUUGGCGCCCCUGUCUUGCAGCCACAUGCCCGGGAGCCGUUACAUGAGCAGGGGCCCUUCUGCAGGUGUGGGGCUACUGGGCUCGGCUGAGCCAGCCUUCAGCCUGAACCACGCUCCUUUCCACCCGCCCCACACAUCAUCCCAAUGCCCCUUCUCUUUUCCCCGGGUGGAACCAGACCCCAAGUGCCACUGGGGCCUUAUCACCAUGUAAGGUGACUGUUAGCUUAAGUUGUUUCUCCACCUGAGUCCCUGCAGGGCUUGUCUUGGUUGCUCAGUGCACGUUAAUGCAACGGAAUCUGAGUGAGCACAGGGACGUGAGUGGGGAGUGAUCAAACAUUUACAGCACUGUGGGCCCCUCACUCCCAUCAAUCCUCAUGGCAGCCUUGGGUAUGGGCUGUACUGUUACAUUUCAGGGAUGAGUCGCUGAGGCCCUGAGAGGCUGGACAAUUUGCCUGAGUUCACACAGCUGCCACAUGGUGGAGUCUCGCCCCCCCCGCCCCCAGCCUCUUCUGGAACAUUCUGCAGAAUGUGGGCAAGAUGGGGGAGUGGGGGAACCUAACUGCCGAGGUUGGGGAGCUGGGCCUGGUGGGAGGGGCGAGGGACCAGCUGCUGGUUUAGUGGAUUGUGGUCGGCAGGAGGGAGGAGGGUCUCAUGGGGGCCUGGAGGGGCGUGGAGGGUGACUGACGUGAGGUGGAGGAGGAGAAGGAAGUUUCAGGAGGCUAGUGCUUCUGACCGGGGGAGACUAGGUGGAUGGGUCCCCUUACCGGGGAGGGGGAACAGGAGACUGGUCCUGCCUGGCAGGUGGGGGACCUGGCGUGGGGAGGCUGCGGGCCCAACAGGUUUGCUGGCACCACGGGGUCCUGAUGGCAGAGGCUGGAACAGCAAUGGCAUCUGGGUCCUGGGUCUGUUGUCCCUCCUCCGCCAUCACUCUGCCUUUCAGCCUGUCUCCUGGGCCUGAGAAGGACGGGCUCAGAGCCACGCCCCAAUCUUGGCACUUCCCCUCCACUCCGCCCUGGGGGAACUUGUUCUUACUGUGCUUAAAAGUAGGCUGAGAAAUCAGUGCAAAGAUGGGAAACUUAGUUUUCACAUAUAAUGGGAGGGGUGUGUGGACUGGGAAAACAAGGGCCGAUUGGAUUUUAUUUUUCGGGGAAUCCGCUGCCGAGAUGGGAUGUCAGCAGGUGCACGGGGCGCUGGUUUCCCCAAAUGGCAGGGCGACUCUCUCAGGAGCCAGUUCAAGUGUGACCCCGGGCUGCGCGGCACCUCUGGGCCCCGGCCCUGCCCUCUGGGGAGCGCCCCCGCCCUCUCAUGGCUGGAGACAUGCUCUUCCCACUCCCUCUGUGCCCCCUGAGGCCAGGGAACUGUCCCCUCACGUCUGUGCUCUGGCGACAGGGCAUGGUGGAGCGUGGGUUGGACUUGAUAGGAGGGGUGCGGUGGGGGUUCAGACAGGUAAGAGCAAUGGCUGGGAACGUGGCCUGGGUCUCUGAGGUCACUGUGCUGUCUGGGUUCACCAUGGUGACACCCAGUGGCCCUAGCACUUGAAGUACCUCACAUACAUUGUUACCUUGCUGGGUCCUAGCUCUUGUUUCCAAUUUGUCGAUAAGGAAGCAGAACCAUGGAAAAGUUACCUAGGUCUUCUAGAGUCACAGAGACAGGGAGUGGCAAAGUCAGGCGGGAUCGGGAUGGGGAGGAUGCUGGUGACCACACAGCCAGCUGGCCUGGCCUCCUCCAGGAUGUGACCCCCCCCCCCCCGGGGGACAGGAGCUCGGCCUGGUGUGGUGUCCAGCCGGGUGCUGUGUGGAUGCCCACCAACUCUGGCGAGGCCAGAAGUAUCUCCCGAAGUCUUUACAGAUCACACUGAAGAAGAGGCACUUGUGUUCCAGAUCCUCUGGCCGCUCCUGACUAACCGACGGAGGUCGAAGCCAUCGGGUGGUAACGGCUUCCUGCACAUCUCUGACCUGCCGUUUACGGCCUCCUCAGAUUCCCCGGGACCGCCAGGACUCAGCCGCCUGACUCUGCAGCUCCGAACCAACCUUGUCGAUAUCCCCGUUGGGGGCCUUUGCUUGGGCUUUAGGAAGGGUCGGUGGUGGAUGUUUUUGGUGGAAUUUUGCGGUCCGAUGUCAGAGAUGGCUGAAACGUGGCGGCGAGAGCGGGCCCUGGGCGUGUCUCCAGGAUUGUAUUUUUCUCUGCUCCAGGGCCUAUCCCCUGGAUGGUACCUAUCCCCGAAAGGGGUCUGUGUUGGAGCCCAGCGCCCCUCGACCCUUGCUGAGUAGGAGUCAUUAACUCCAGGGAACUAAAGGCAGAAGGAAGGGUUAGGCUUUGGGGCAAAUCGGCAAUGAAUGAGCUUCUGUUCUCUAACCUGACCACAUGUGUUGGAGGCAAAUAGACACCUUGCUCUGCUCCUGUAAACACACCUUGUGCAGGUAGAUGCUUGUCGGCUCACCCCUCGCAUGGGAGAGAUGCCCUUCUCAUGCCCUGGCAUUGUUGGCUCUUUGCUGCUCAAAGGACACUGCAACCUUGAACCAGCUCCCUGUGUUCCUUCCAGCGGGGAUGAAACGAGCCUUCAGCAGGGCCUCAUCCUUUACCAGGGCCUGGCAAGGGCCCUGGGAAGGGAGGUCACCGUUGAGCAACGCCCAGACAUAGUCUACCAUUCAUUUCCAGAUGCCUCUGGGCCUCAAUUGUUUUCUUCCUCUCUUCCCAUAGUUACAGAUUUUGCAAGAUCCGUUCAACACGUGUUCAUGGGUCCAUCCCCCCCUAAGCCGUUCAGAUCCAUCAGUCCAGUGUUCCCUUUGCUCUUUUCAUGCUGACGGUUUUCAACGGCUGUUGACAAAGCUGCUAAAGGAACAGGUUAUUAAGAGCGCUCACGCGGUGGCCCCUGUGGGCAAAUAAGCCCCUAAGGUUUCCCAGAAUGGGUAGGACGGAGCCUCCCAAGCUUCCCAGAACAGGCCCAGGGAUGCGCUUUGCUUUUUGCUUUUUUUUUUUUUUUUCCCUAAGUGGAGGGCACCAUCUUUGCGUUGAAGGGAAGGUGCGCGGGAGCCGGGGGUUCCUAUGGAAAAAGCCAAUUCCUGGCGUAAGACUCAAAGGGAAAGUCCUCAGCUUUCCCUGAGCUGUACUGAUCUGCACAAGGCCUUCUUUACAUCUGUAUCUUUCUUAGCCGUGUUGGCCGUGAAGGGCCAUCGGGGCCGCCUCCAUCUGUCUGGCGGGGUGAGUGAGGGCAGGGGUGAUGCCCGGCUGUGGAACUCUGGGCCCAGGGGGACUAUCUGAGCUGCGAUUAUGAGGGCUUCGUUCCUCGGAUGCGUGGAAGACAGCUUGCUGCAGAUGCCACACGUUGGCGGUGCUGGUUGUCAACAACCAGCUAGAGCCCGGAGGCCGUCUUACGGCAGAGACGAGAGGCAGAGUCCCGGUGGCCACGUGUUACAAGCGUGGGGACGAUACACCCGGUGUCUUCGGAGUUUUGCCCAAGCGUGAGGGGCCCUUCGUGUUCCAUCGCCCCCGGUUCCCACCCGAGCACCCAGACCUUUGGAAUGUUCUCUUCUUUCCUGGAGCCCUCACCCAGUGGCAGACGUGGCGGGGGUUUCCAUCCACACCUGUUUCCUUCUCGUCCUGGGCACCCAGCUAGACGACUUCUUCCAGCCUCCCGUUGGGCGUGGCUGUGCGAUUGGGUCUGGCCAGCGCAGCGUGGCUGGAAGUGGGGUGGGCCUCUUCCAGGCCCGUCGAGGAAGCUUCCCACGUGGCUCCCCGUGUGCUGGCUUCCGCUGCGGAAGCUGGAGCACACGCCAGAGGGACCGGCCCGGGCUCCUGAAUGACCUCGUGGAGGACUGCCACCACCCAGCCCUGGCAUUGGGCUUGGCGUGAGUGAGAAAUCAGCCCUCACUGGCUCUCGGCCGGUGCCCCAUCGCUUGCUUUCUGGAUUGUUCCGUGUCCUCUGGGUGAGUGUCAGCCCCUUCCCCUUGGCAUUUCUGCAUUUCCAGCUCCCUUCUCUCCCAUCCUAGAGGAGACAGCAUCUUUUCCUUUCGCAAAUACACUCAUCCGAGUGCCCUCCAUUGUGACUCCCCCCGCUCGAGUCCCCCUUCAGCUUUGCCCCGCGAAUCCUUUCUCUUCCUUGAGCUCCAAUCUUAUCUUUCACGGGCCCCAUUCCUUCUUGGUCGCGACUAUGUUUAGCCCCCGCCCCCACCUUGUUACGCAUGUCUCUAUUUCUCGUCACCGUCGGGAUCUGUGAACGGUCCCCUCCGCUGGGGCUUUCAGUCCCCCUCCUCCUCACUCAGCUGCAGAAUCUGCCUUCUGCUCCCACCGCCUUUGGGCGGUGACCGACCCCAAGGCCCUGUUGGCUGCUACAUUUGCAGUGUCUCCACAGUUCCCACGCUUUAUCAUUUCUGUGGCACCCUUGCCAGGCUCUCCCUCUUGAGCCGACUGGCCUUUGUCGCUGGGCUUUGCCAGUUCCCCCACAGCUCGCCUCUCUCCACCACAGGCUGGUUGGUGUCCACGCAGGGACGGAAGGAAGGGGAGGGUAUUCCUGGGGUUCCGGCCUGCACCUCUCCUCUUUCCCCAUGGUGCCACCGUUUGUAAUCUGCAUCAUUGACUCCCUUAGCAUCGGCCGCCAGCUUCAUGCAUGAUGACAUCCCGGUCCCCAUCCUCCUUCAGGAUGCCACGACCCUCCAUCCCAGGGGUGGGACUCCCCCAGGACCUUCCACCGAACACGCAUCCGGCAGACCCAUCUGCUGCCCCACACCCCCAACUAUUCCCGCCUCCCCCUCAUGCUCCCCCUCAGGCUCCCCAGCCUGCCAUUUUUGGGGGUUACAGGGAUGACAGUUCUACGUCAGCCAGCUGCCCAGCCCCAGUAGUUCUGAGCGCACCCUCUUAUGUAUAUGGUUCCAGCCCUUGUCGUCUUUGCUUAAUUAGACUUCCCCAGGGGCCGGUGCGCCGCCCCCCUGCCCCCCGCCUCCCAUCCAGCCCAUCUCUCACUCCUGCCAUCCCAGCAGUCAGAGCCAGCUGGCUGGGGUGGUGGUGAGCUGUGCGUGCGUGUGGCAUUCCUGGACGCGGCGUCCAGAGUGGGUAGAGCGUGGGCUGUGGGCUUGGGCAGACCUGGAUUCCUGUCCUGGCCCUGUCACCUAGGAGCUGUUGACUUUGGCAAUCACUUAAUCUUUGUGAGGCUGAGUUUUUGCGUGUAAAAUUGUGAUAACACCUACUUCAACAGGGGUGCUGUGAGGCGCGUGAAGGCCCCAGGGCACACGGCAGGUGUCCAGUGACUCCCCCCACCCCAGGAGUGCUCCUGGGGACUGCUGGGGGGAAGCCGGCCCGGGCGUGCGUCUGUGCUGGGUCCAGGGCUUGUGGACACCCGGAGUGCGGAAAGCCAUCGUGGACCUGAAGGACCCUUCAGGUCAGCUGCAGUUUCUACCCCCGGGCCGUGCGGGUCUGAUGAAGAAUCUCAAGGCAUUGAAUCAUUUUUUAAUGCCUCAUAUUUAAGCUUUUUUUAUUUCUAGAACAUACACAAACGGCAAACUCUUCCUCCGACACUUGUCUUACUCCCCGGGAGAAAAUUAGGCCACUGGAAACUCGUUUCAUCUGCUGCAGAGGUGGAGGCCGGCGGGAGCCUCGAGAGCGGGAUGUGCCUCGCCAAGAAGGCUGUCAGUGCUGGGGACACCGCCGGGGGGCCACAGCGGGGUGCUGGUGCCCGAGGAAGCCACCCAGAGCCGUGUCCAGACCCAGGAUAUGAGAGGGGGAAGCCCCACACAGCUCGUAGGGCUUCUGCAGGUAAACCGAAUUGCCCCAGGUAGCCUGAGGUCUGAAGGAUGAGCCCUCAGAGUGACGCUAGCAGGCCAGUGCUGGCCCCGUUGUCACCCUGUCACCAGUGUGGGGUUGGGGCAGCGGAGCAUACGUUUCCAACGUGUUGCCAGUGCUCGGUGAAAGCCUGGAGCCAAGUCUGUGGAAAAGAUAAAGUAACAAAUAUAAGAAGUCAUUGAGAUGCGUCCUAGGGAAGAGAGCCAGCUUGUGCUGAAAGUCCUGUCUCUGUCUGAGAGCUGUCACCUGCAGUGACUCACCUCCCACUGACCAGAAGUCAAGGUCGGUCUGGCCUGUGGAGUGAUACACCCUGGAGGGGGACUGUGGGUACUCCCCUCUGCUGCCGGGGCGACCAGACUCCCGAACCCCGGACCCCGCAGUGUCCGCGCAGGUCACGGCCGCUCGGCCCUGUGGGGCGCAUGGCAUGCUUCGCCAGCUGGGCCCCACAACAGCCUUGUGCAGGCGGAAGGACUAGCUCGAACCUUGACGCGCAGAUGCGCAAACUGAGGCCCGGGAGGAGCCCACAGGCGGGCCGUGCCAAGUAGGGCAGCCCCUUGUGCCGAGUGCCUGGGCUGCCCUACUCCUCCCCAUCUUUCCGAGGGUGGGUGAGGCCUGAUGAUAUAAUUGAUAUUAAUCCCCGUGUUACCGGGUGGACAGGACACAGCCCCGUCUGCCAGAAACACCCCGGAAACACUCCCAGCUUUGGAUUUCUAUGAAAAACUCUUUAAAAAUAAAAAAAAACCCAAACCCACGGAGGACGGAGAGUUGAGGGGCCGUUGCUCCGGCGGAAUGUUUGGUCUUCACGGGGCUUUUGUCCUUCCUUCACACAGAGCACAGGUCAUGCCCACCUAGACUCAACUUCUUACAGACUCGUUCCGCUCAGACCCGACCCAAACUCAGGAACCGUCGCAAGUGACAGACGCCCGAGGGUCCCGAUGGCCGGGGACAAGGGCAAGGAGAGGAAGCCUUGCCAAAAUGAAAGCAAAGAGGCUUUAGAAGCCAUGGGAAAAGGCUCCCUACAGGCAGCAGUCAAGAGAAAUUCGCCUGGAACAGCCAGGUACCCAAGGUUUUCUACACCUUGUUAAUUACUGACUUAAAACAAAACCUUUAGGUUUGGUGUCCCCUGGAGCUAAGUUCCUGCCACCCCGUUGCCAGCCACCAUUUCUGUCAACGCAAAGAGCCACAGCUGUGGGGACAGGCUGGCGCUUGUGGGGGAGAAGCCUUUUCCCUUGUCGUUGCCCUCAGCUGUGGCCUCUGGAACGUUCCGUGGCAGCACGGAGGAGAAAUGAUACCUUAAUACUUUUUGUUACAAGAGCUCUUCUGAAAAACAUUCUACAAACAGGUAUAUUAGAGUAGUGGGUGUGGUUAAUGUAACAUCAGGGACAAGUCUGAACACAGACCUCGGUCAUGGUUUUGGGUCUCGCGUUUCAUUUUUAUGUGAGGACGAAGUGAAGUAAGGGACUCAUGUUAAAUUACCUGGAAAUGAGUUUGGUCAGGUUGGUGUCGUCAUGGGAACUCCUGACAGCUCUUUCCUUCUUCGUUCUUUUUUUUUUUUUUUUAAGUUUAUUUAUGUAUUAUGAGAGAGACAGAGACAGCACAAGUAGGGGAGGGGCAGAGAGAGGCAGAGAGAGGAUCCCAAGCAGGCUCUGCGCUGUCAGUGUGGAGCCCGAUGUGGGGCUCCAACUCAGGGAACCGUGAGAUCAUGACCUGAGCCGCAACCAAGAGUAGGAUGCUUAAGUGCCUGAGCCACCCGGGCACCCCAGCUCUAUCUGUCUCUGGAUUCCUCAGGAUGCAGCCACAGGGCCUUGCGAGGGAGGUGAGGGGGGCUGGGGGACCUGUGUGUAACGAGUUCCCCACACGAGGGUCUCCUGAAGCCCAGGUGUGCCCUGACACCCGGUCAUGGGAGCUUCAGGCAGGUAGCCGGCUCCCCAGCUGCCCCUGCAGAGCUGGGUUUGCCCGGGGAAAGGGCCAGAGGCGAGGGGCAGCGAGUGGGAGUGGAGGCUAGCUGAUGCAAGCCAUGCGUUUGUUCAGCAAGGAGGAUCCGUGGGAGGCCUGUGCACCAGGUCGGGGCAGGGCACUGGCUGAGGGGCUGCAUGCGGCUCUCUGGGAGGUGGUGACCUCGGGCAGGGUGCUGGCCUGCUCUGGGCCUGUUUCUCCUGCUCAAAAAUGAGGACUCCAGUGCCCUCCUCCUAGGGCAGGUAUGAGGACUCACGGUGUCACCAUGGGGAAACACUCAGUGGGGUCCCUGGCACGGAGCAGUGAACUGUGUUUGCUCUCUGGUUAUGACAGCAGCCAGCCCUUGCCCAGGGGGGCCCCAAGACAGGGGGAAGGCCAUGAUGCAGACAAGGGCAGAAGAGGAGGUUGAAGGAGAGCCUUUGCUGAGCACUUGACAUUGAGUCUGGGCUAGACAAAUGAGUAGAAAUGUACCAAGAGCAAAGGACGUGCCAGGUAGAGGGACCAACAAAAGCACAGGGUCGGAAGGGACGUGUGUGUUUGGGGAACAGCAGGACUUGGUGUGGCUGGGUGCCAGAUGGUGUUGGUGAGUCUCCAAGGGGGCAAGGCUGGCCCGGCAGUUUGGUUGCACAAGCCUUAGAUUGUGUCUUCAAAGCAGUGGGGUCUGGGGUGGGGGACUUUAAAACAUAUACAGACUAGAUGGAUUGUAGAAUCUGUUAACAGGGAUGGAUCUUCCUGUUGAGUGUUUAAUACUUAGCCAAAUGUGCGAAACCCAGAAAGCAGGGGCACCUGAGUGGCUCAGUGGGUUAAGCAUCUGACUUCGGCUCAGGUCAUGAUCUCACGGUCUGUGAGUUCAAGCCCCGCGUUGGGCUUUGUGCUGACAGCUCAGAGCCUGGAGUCUGCUUUGGAUUCUGUGUCUCCCUCUCUCCCUGCCCCUCCCCCACUUGCUCUCUGUCUCUCUCUCUCUCUCUCUCAAAAAUAAAAAAGUAAACAUUAAAAAAAAAACAAAAAAAACAAAGCACCUUUCUUUGAGGCCAAGACUGCCUGGGUAUGAGGAGGGUGUUUGUUGUUUCGUUUUGUAAUUUUAAACAUGUAGAAGAGUGUAUUUGUGUCCAUCAGCCGGCUUCAACAGUGGCCAACUAGGACGUGGAUUUUCGGUGGGAGCAGUGCCAUAGGAUGUGGUUUAGGAAGCUGACUGGUGGCACCUAGGAGCCCCCGUGCAAGGGUCUGGGCUGGUGGCCAAGAGAGAUGGCUGGGCUUGUAGCCUUGUUUAGCCGAGUGUUGGUGAGGACCCAGACUAAGGCAGGGGGGUGAGAAGAGAGCAGAUAGUUGGAAGAGAUUUUGAAGUAGAACCAGUAGGAUUUGGCAACCAACUGGAUGUGAGAGGGGAGGGCAUUGGAGGGGCUUUGUGGGAUUCUACUGCCCGUGAACGAUCCUAGAGGAAGGAAAGGGUUUGAGGCAGGACAGAGGUCCAACCACAGUCCUUGAAGCCGUGUGGCCUCGAUCACCAUGCUGCAGCCCCCUUAGUUGUCUCCCAGUUCCUUGACUGCACCAAACUCUUUUCACCCCAGGACCUUUGUACAUGCUGCUCCCUCUCUCUAGGUUGCUUCCGUCCUCACAUGUCACCUCCACAACUCCCUCUCGUCCUUUCAGUCUCAGCUCACAUGGCACCUCCAUCGGGAGACUCAUUUAUUCCUGCUCUGUCUCUCGUUUGUGUCCUUACUGAUCCUUAUUGAUCACAUGUAAAUCUGUUGCUUGAUGACAGGCAUUCCUCGGAUAUAGUCUGAGUUCGGUUCCAGGCCACCGCAAUAAACCAAGUAUCACAA
This is a long non-coding RNA of Panthera uncia (snow leopard), 13094 nucleotides long. RefSeq lists it as uncharacterized. The transcript has 2 exons. The record is from RefSeq and is a predicted model, not a curated record. NCBI's taxonomy places the organism in Eukaryota, Metazoa, Chordata, Mammalia, Carnivora, Felidae.